CCAUAUUCCUUCUCCUCCUUUAUUUCCUCCUCAUAUCUUCCUUUCUUUCAUUUCCUUUUUGGUCGCGAGCCACCACGACACCACCUUGCUGCCACCUCCUUUCCCUCUUGUUUCUACUUUUGUUAUAGGAGGAAUUUCGGGUUCAAAAUUAGGAGGUCCGUACUUGUGUGCAAGGAUCAAGAUAGGUGAUGGCGAUCGGACAACGUGAACUAUAUGCUGCAUUGGAUAUGAUGGGCGGUGAUAACCUAGUUUAACUUAAUAAAUAUAGCAUUAGUAAUGUAGUUAUUUUGAAAGUGUAUCAAACUAUUAUUAUUACUAUUAUUAUUAAUAAAAGAUAAGUAUUGUUUUCCGCUGCAAAACUCUGUUAAGCCCUACGUAAUCACGUGGCGGUAAUACUCCCAUGUUACUCCCUAAAGUUGGAUUAGCAUUGUUAAAUAUUAGAGAGUAAUUUGGGAGUGUUACAGCAGAGGCUCUUGGGACCGAUCGAUUCUCCAUAUCCGCCCUGCUUAUCUCUAAAAAAAAAUAGUAAUUAAACAACUCUAGAUGAUUUUACAAAAAACUCUAGAAACAUGGUAGGCUCUCAUACCUCAUUAUA
Molecule: long non-coding RNA, 595 nt
Organism: Chenopodium quinoa (quinoa)
Lineage: Eukaryota; Viridiplantae; Streptophyta; Magnoliopsida; Caryophyllales; Amaranthaceae
Exons: 3
Source: RefSeq, a predicted model, not a curated record